CAGCCGCCGCGGUAAUACGAAGGGUACAAGCGUUAAUCGGAAUUACUGGGCGUAAUGCGUGCGUAGGCGGUGAGUUAAGUCUGCUGUGAAAUCCCCGGGCUCAACCUGGGAAUGGCAGUGGAUACUGGCUCGCUAGAGUGUGUCAGAGGAUGGUGGAAUUCCCGGUGUAGCGGUGAAAUGCGUAGAGAUCGGGAGGAACAUCAGUGGCGAAGGCGGCCAUCUGGGACAACACUGACGCUGAGGCACGAAAGCGUGGGGAGCAAACAGGAUUAGAUACCCCCGUAGUCCCUGUCUCUUAUAC
Molecule: ribosomal RNA, 301 nt
Filed under: uncultured bacterium
Lineage: Bacteria
Description: partial 16S ribosomal RNA
Rfam family: Bacterial small subunit ribosomal RNA
Source: RNAcentral